This 20-nucleotide microRNA is filed under the name Gallus gallus (chicken). RNAcentral's name for it is "gga-miR-1573". The record is from miRBase by way of RNAcentral. Lineage: Eukaryota; Metazoa; Chordata; Aves; Galliformes; Phasianidae.
UGUUCUGCAGGUGCCAGUCU